This 463-nucleotide small RNA is filed under the name Pan troglodytes (chimpanzee). RNAcentral's name for it is "retained intron". Lineage: Eukaryota; Metazoa; Chordata; Mammalia; Primates; Hominidae. The record is from RNAcentral.
GCUUUUCAGAACAAUGGCUUAGCCAGGAGGGUGGUGCUGGGUUUUUCUUUAUCGGCUUGGGUGUGGAAUCGCGGACUGCGCCCCUCCAAUCUGAUCUGGAGAGUGGCUGACUGCGUGUGCAGAGCUCUGGGGGUGUUGGUCUGGGAUUGUGCCAUCAGCUUUGCAAGCAAGCGCCAUGAGCAAGAUCAGCGAGGCCGUGAAGCGCGCCCGCGCCGCCUUCAGCUCGGGCAGGACCCGUCUGCUGCAGUUCCGGAUCCAGCAGCUGGAGGCGCUGCGGCGCCUGAUCCAGGAGCAGGAGCAGGAGCUGGUGGGCGCGCUGGCCGCCGACCUGCACAAGGUGCUCGGGCUGGGCGGCCGCCUUCUGCCAGUGUCGGGGCCAUGCGAUGGGGCGGGGGGCGGGGGAGAGUGCGACCCAGAGAGGUUCAGGAAGGACUCCCCUCGGUCGCGGAGACUGGGCGCACCG